Molecule: long non-coding RNA, 745 nt
Organism: Oncorhynchus keta (chum salmon)
Lineage: Eukaryota; Metazoa; Chordata; Actinopteri; Salmoniformes; Salmonidae
Exons: 3
Source: RefSeq, a predicted model, not a curated record
GUAUGGUGAGGUCUCUCAGUAUGGUGAUAAUAUGGUAUGGUGAGGUCUCUCAGUAUGGUGAUAAUAUGGUAUGGUGAUAAUAUGGUAUGGUGAGGUCUCUCAGUAUGGUGAUAAUAUGGUAUGGUGAGGUCUCUCAGUAUGGUGAUAAUAUGGUAUGGUGAUAAUAUGGUAUGGUGAGGUCUCUCAGUAUGGUGAUAAUAUGGUAUGGUGAUAAUAUGGUAUGGUGAGGUCUCUCAGUAUGGUGAUAAUAUGGUAUGGUGAUAAUAUGGUAUGGUGAGGUCCCUCAGUAUGGUGAUAAUAUGGUAUGGUGAGGUCUCUCAGUAUGGUGAUAAUAUGGUAUGGUGAGGUCUCUCAGUAUGGUGAUAAUAUGGUAUGGUGAGGUCUCUCAGUAUGGUGAUAAUAUGGUAUGGUGAGGUCCCUCAGUAUGGUGAUAAUAUGGUGUGGUGAUAAUAUGGUAUGGUGAGGUCUCUCAGUAUGGUGAUAAUAUGGUAUGGUGAGGUCUCUCAGUAUGGUGAUAAUAUGGUGUGGUGAUAAUAUGUUAUGGUGAGGUCUCUCAGUAUGGUGAUAAUAUGGUAUGGUGAGGUCCCUCAGUAUGGUGAUAAUAUGGUAUGGUGAGGUCUCUCAGUAUGGUGAUAAUAUGGUAUGGUGAGGUCUCUCAGUAUGGUGAUUAUAUGGUAUGGUGAGGUCUCUCAGUAUGGUGAUAAUAUGGUAUGGUGAGGUCUCUCAGUAUGGUGAUAACAUGGUA